CUGCUACAACGGCUUCCUGACGUGGCAGUUUAAUUCAUUGGAGCA
This 45-nucleotide non-coding RNA is filed under the name unclassified sequences. RNAcentral describes it as "SAM-SAH-Weickhmann-2018 RNA". It matches the Rfam family "SAM/SAH riboswitch aptamer". The record is from RNAcentral. RNAcentral also lists the same sequence under 1 other name.